Molecule: non-coding RNA, 215 nt
Organism: Parasteatoda tepidariorum (common house spider)
Lineage: Eukaryota; Metazoa; Arthropoda; Arachnida; Araneae; Theridiidae
Source: RefSeq, a predicted model, not a curated record
UUUGAAUUGUUUGUUAAAUUUUUCUUAAUAGGAAAGACAAUGUUUUGCGAUUAUGGAAUUAUUUACUAGAACUUCUACGAGCUCGCAGAAGCAGACUAGAAAAAUCUAUAGCUUUACAACAGACAUUCCAAGAAAUGAUAUUCAUUUUAGAUUCUAUGGAAGAAAUCAAGGCUAGAUUGUUAUCUAAAGAUUAUGGCAAACAUCUCAUGGGAGUU